This 254-nucleotide ribosomal RNA is filed under the name uncultured bacterium. RNAcentral describes it as "partial 16S ribosomal RNA". It matches the Rfam family "Bacterial small subunit ribosomal RNA", at positions 524 to 776 of the family's 1533-position model. The record is from RNAcentral.
UACGGAGGGUGCGAGCGUUGUCCGGAAUCAUUGGGCGUAAAGGGCGCGUAGGUGGCCUGCUAAGCGUGCGGUGAAAGCUCGGGGCUCAACCCCGAGUCGGCCGUGCGAACUGGUGGGCUUGAGCACUGUAGAGGCAGGCGGAAUUCCGGGUGUAGCGGUGGAAUGCGUAGAGAUCCGGAAGAACACCGGUGGCGAAGGCGGCCGUGCUGGGCAGUAGCUGACACUGAGGCGCGACAGCGUGGGGAGCAAACAGG